RNAcentral lists this ribosomal RNA (253 nucleotides) under uncultured bacterium. RNAcentral's name for it is "partial 16S ribosomal RNA". It matches the Rfam family "Bacterial small subunit ribosomal RNA", at positions 524 to 776 of the family's 1533-position model. The record is from RNAcentral.
UACGUAGGGGGCAAGCGUUGUCCGGAUUUAUUGGGCGUAAAGAGCGUGUAGGCGGCUUUACAGGUCCGUUGUGAAAACUCGAGGCUCAACCUCGAGACGCCGGUGGAAACCGUAAAGCUAGAGUCCGGAAGAGGAGAGUGGAAUUCCUGGUGUAGCGGUGAAAUGCGCAGAUAUCAGGAGGAACACCCGUGGCGAAAGCGGCUCUCUGGGACGGUACUGACGCUGAGGCGCGAAAGCUAGGGGAGCAAACGGG